Ornithodoros turicata is the source of this 8206-nucleotide long non-coding RNA. RefSeq lists it as uncharacterized. The record is from RefSeq and is a predicted model, not a curated record. Lineage: Eukaryota; Metazoa; Arthropoda; Arachnida; Ixodida; Argasidae. The transcript is spliced from 5 exons.
GUCACUUACUCGUUCUUUCUUUUCCUUCCAGCAUUGUGUUGCUUCGUGGGUCAUUAUUAUAAAUUAUACGCACAUUUCGUAAAGGUUUUGUAUGGCUCGCAGAGCUAUUGCAGGUUUACAUCUAGAAGAGUACCCAAAGCUUUUUAAUUCUUUUUUUUUUUACAACAAAUUUGACACACAAUAAAAUGCUGACGUAGGGGAGUGACGUACGAAGGUAGGUACCGGUCUGGUACAAUCCUCACAGUUUGGCAACCCGAGUAAGGUGAACUCCUCGCAGGCAGUCAGGGCUAGGUACAUGAGCAAAAGUGAUGCCACGUCCAGUGUAAGCAGACUUUAUCGGGGAUAUUUGCUUGCUAUUGUGAGUCCUGUUGUAAUGCCGAAAAUGAAAUGUAAAUGGCAAAAAUAAAAAGGGUGGAGGAUUAAGAAAUUUGCGCAUUAAACUAAAGCCUCCGCAGCUCAAAACCCAUCUUGCAUACUGCCAGUGUGCUGCCCCUGACAAGUCCAUCUGAGAAGUGUUGUGGAAUUGGUGGCAAUGGCUAGAAGCCUUGUGAACGUAGUAGGAUGGAUACGUUUUGCAUUUCGUGCAUCAAAAACAUUAGAAAAACAGCCAAAACUCCCAUUUACGUUAUUGUUUUUGCAGAUAGAACUAUGUAUUUAUUCACUUCGUUUUUGCACUUUCAGAGCUACAGAUGAAACAAACAAAACAAUGUAUAGUGUCUAUAAUGCCAUUUUUAGUGCCUACAGCGAGAUUUUUAGUGCCUUUUUUAGAGGCCUAAAAUAACUUUUCUCAUGCCUAGACAUCCGGGCUCUAGAUGUGAUACAGGCAAAAAUCGGGGUUUAUUAGGCUUGUUUACGUAUCAUAAAUGUAAAAAAAUGCAGCUACAAAAUGAGAAGCGUGCUCUAUAUCUCUGGUGCAUCUUCCCAAGACUGUUCAUAUAUUUCUAGCAUAGAUUGAAGUACUACUUUGCUUACCAUGACGCUGUUACAAGCCUUCACGUAAAAAACAUCAGCAAGAUGUACAGACUUAACUUUUGUUUCCACCUCAGGGUACAGUACAUUCAGUGAUUCAGUGAUUUUCAGAAGUCUCAUUCGCUUCUCGAACAACAGACAAAUAGCGGUACGUCUGGAAACUCGAGUACCCUGUCUCCAACCCCUCAUUACACCACAGGACGAGCUCACUUGUGAACGUAUUCACCGAAUGCGUGGCUAGUGUGUAACUGUAACAGUGACAAAACUCAAUGGUAGCAGGUUCGUUCCCGGUAAUGUACCCCGGAGUGGGAGCUUUCCGGAUAUCUGAACUCCGGAUAAGCGAGGAGACAAGCUUUUCUCACUUCACUGAAGAUAUAACUAUGAAUGCACAUAAUAAAUAAAUGCCUAAUCAACAAAUAGAAAAUUACAUGUACUUCCUAGUAGAUCCACUAAGACUGCAAGAAAAGCUACAGAAUCAAAUCAGCGUUGUACCUCGCCUGCAGGAUUGUGACCCGGCGUGCUCUUUCCUUGUACCGUCGAGCAGCGACACUCUUCAUGUGCUCAGAUUGUACGCGCUCUCUGCGUGCAGCGUGCACCUGUGCAUCUGCUUCUCUGCGCCGUUCUCGCAUCUCCUGUAACAGAAGAGUAAAUGCUUUUGAAAUUUUGUGAGCAUGCAGUACAACAUGGCAUAGAUGCAGGCAAAAGCGGGUGGAUGAACUCAGGUGGUGCCCAUAGCUCAGGCUUCAACAGUGUGGCACAAAAUAGGUUCUGUAUCGGGAGUAAAUUUACAAAAGUGGCUUUUGUUUCCUCAUGUGAUGCAUCACAGGCUCAGCUCAGGAAGUGACACACACUUUGAGUUUACGUGUGUUCCUUAUGCUCUGCUACAGGAACUAAGAGAUUGCAUUUAUACAUCCCUCUGCUUUGUCUGCUACCUAUACAAGUAAAUAUACGAAAGAGAGCUUUUCACAGCAUAGGAAUAUAUCAAGCAGAAUGCUCACAGUGCUUUUGUCUAUUUUUCUUUUUUUAAUGCAUCACCUGCAUGCCAAAGCAAACAGAAGAUCUGAGAACAAUGCAAGAGCUUGCCUAGAAUACUUGGUGGGUUGUGAAAGCAGAGCACGGAUUUACAAAUAUAUACCAAUCAAGUGUCGCAUAUUCCCUCUCAGAAAUGUACUGUAACUACUUUUUAAUAGUUUAACUAUAACUACUAACUACUUUGUCAAAUUGUAGUUUAACUAUAGUGUAACUACAUCACAGCCACACUAGUUAAAACUACUUUGCAACUAAUAUAUGAUGUAGUUGUUUACCUACAUUUGUAACUACUAUGAUAUUUUGUGUGCGUCAUUGUAUCUGUGAUUGCUCAGGCGUAGAAAUAGCAUGUGAGUGUGUCGGGGGGCGAGAAGAGAGUGAACUCCCACACUCGCAACAAUCAUAGCACAGCGUGUGCCCCUCCAUACACUACAGAUAUAGCGAUAUACGUAUGAUGAUAUGCAAUUAUAAAGUCAUGACCUCCAAUUUGACGACUGGGGGGGGGGGGGGGCGUAAGCUUUUUCAAUGUGCUGUGUGUGUCGAUUGUUAUGUACCCUGAUUAACACAAAAGACAUACUUUCUGCUCAUGUGCUGUAUGAAACACUGUAGCGUUUCUAUAUGCAAACUUCAUUCCGUGUCUAACCAGUCUAACUCGACCAAUACUCCGACAGCAAACAGUCCUGUUGCAACACGUUGGAUACUGCCGUGAUACCCCGUCGAAAAUUCUUAAAAGAUGCGAAGUAGUUGCGGCCUGCUGUAAUCUGACUCUGUAGUUAACUACAAAAAAUAAGUGUAACUAGUAGCUAUAACUACCAUUUUUGCAAGUAGUUCAACCUCUAUAUAACGAAUUUGUAAAUGCUGGCUCUUUGUUUCGUUUAAUAGAGAAAUUCGUUAAAUGGAACACUCCAAGUGAAACAAAAAUGGCCACUGCCACUACCUGUGCCGCACUACUGCAAAACAUCAUUUGUCAUAAAACAGGUAUCGAGCUGCGAAGGGCACGAAAUAUCGAGCUUUAUUCAUCUCGCAACGCUAGGUAACACGUAACUUAUGCACAAUAUCGCUGGAGCGUUCGCAACUUCGUAACUAACAAUACAAGUAAACAACACCACAAAACAGCAACACUGUCAUCGGGAUCAACAAAAGCAAAUUAGACUUCGCGAGAGGCCAACAAUGCGAGUUUUCGUGUCCAAAAACAGGUGCAAAGAGGCCCUCACGCCGGUUUCGAAACGACAUCAGCAUACCAAAAAUUACCGGCGACAGCGGCCGCACAUAGCUACAUGCUCCUUUUACCCUUUUACGGCGUGCCUACAGCACAUGACAACCGCAGUGACCAACGAAAACCCGCAUGAGGACAACGGAUAGGGGAAGGUUGCUGCUCCUCCUGUUCGUGAUGAAGGGGAAAAACACAUGCAGAAGGCUUUUGUCGCCUAGGGACUUCAUUAAGUAGAGGUAACCAAACGAACUAUUUAGUUAAAUUAAGCACGAAAAUGCAUUGGAGUCUAUUGGGACGUGUAUGAGUGAUGGAAAUUCUUCGUUAAACAGACGAUUUCGUUGAAUCGACAUUUGUUAUUCAGAGGUUCAACUGUAGUUCCUAACUACUUUUUGACUACCAUGCAGUAGUUUAACUAGUAGUUUAACUACACUGCACAUACCUCACUCUACAGCUUGUAUAUAGUUACGACAUAACGAACUUUGUUUUACAAAAGGUGUAUGCCAUCACUACACACCAUGGAAUUUUGAGUUUAGUCCAUCUGACGUCAGAUUAAGCACAGAGGUCUCAUUGACCAAGUUUUUUUUUUCUAUAAAGAAGCUCAUCAUAUCAGAUGCUAAACAGCGGUAAAACAAAUGAUUUUCACAGGGUAGUUUCUGCAGGAAGAAUCAAUUUCUUCUUGAUUUUUUUUUUUUUUACCAAAGGGUAGGUAAACAAAUAUGGGAUGAAGUGGUUACUACGAACUGGGGCCUAGAACUAGAUGUACUACUGCUCCUAAAUAAUAAUUCUACAUCAUGCAAAGAGCUUGGUACACUGAUAAGAAAACUUGUAUGGAUCAAACAGGUUUUCAGUAUGUCAACCAUAUCGCAUCAAAAAUUCCAAUUCUUCCACUCUGUUAUUGUUGCAUCUUGCUGGUGCCACAGGUGUGGUAAAAGAAAAGACAUUCCUAGGUAAGCUUAAACUGCAAUGUUGCAUUUUAUUCGUCCCUCGCAUUCCAUAUUAUGUCGUAUUCCUCUGGUAAACUAACUUGCCAUGCUGAAGAUGAGUAAUGCAGUAAAUACAACUUCAUGAAGGAUCCCAGAGACCAUGAGUAGAGUUUCUUUUUCAAAAGCCCAGUAAUCUCCUGGUCCCGCUUACAUGAAGGACGAGGAGACUCCUCAGUGCUGUCCUCGGCAGCUUUGGCAGUACUCUACGCACAAGCAGAGUUGAGAACUGUAGUUUAUGCUUGAAGCACUACCAAAGCCACUGGGCACACCACUCAGGAAUCUCCUCAACAUUUGUGCAAGCCGGCCGUGAUGUUCUUGUGUAACACCUGUUAGAAACAGACCUCCAUACCAGCGCACAAGCGUGCCAAAAACUUCCAUCCAAUUAACAUCUGCAUUACUUUCAAGCACAACGGCACUUGGUGCCUGCUGUCACUUGCUCUCAGUCAUAAUGCCAGUUCCUGUCCGUGUAGGCUUUGCUGUACAUCACACUGGGCCUACAGGACCUUCACAACCAGGAAGGGAACAAUAGAUGAAGCAGAAGAAUACAGACUUUAUUUUGCAUGAUGUCAUGCACUACAACCAUUUUCGUGUGGUGGUGCUCUGCUCAGUCUGCAUAGUCUUCAACCGCACUAGAGGGUCAUGUUUUAGAACAGAUGGGUGGUGAAUGACGGGUGCAUGGACAGGAGCAGGGAACUGGAUGGAAGUGUCUGUCCAAGUCAUGGGUCAGCAUUUUCCUAAGAAUUCAUUCAACAUCACAUCAUGGUCCGUUUUCCGCAAAGCCCAUCGCAUCACGUCACCAUCAUAAACCAUGACAUCACAACCCCAUCACUCAACAUCAACUUCAGAACAAAUGAUGUCAUAACUCAUUAUUGAACUUCAACUUCAAAAUUUGUCACAUCAUAACCCAUAAUUCAACUUCAACUUCAGAACUCAUCACAUUACAUCACAUCAUUCAACUUCAGAGCCCAUCAUCGACUUCAACUUCAGAAACUAUCACCGACUUCAGAGCCCAUCAUCGGAAUUCAACUUCAGAGCCCAUUGCGGUUUUGAAGCUGAAUUCCUAUGAUGGGUUCUGAAGUUGGUGCUGGGGUUUUGAAGUUGAACUCCGACGAAGGCCUAUGUUAGGUGUGCCUGGCUGCUUGAUUACAACGCUAGUGUCCUCCUCACUUGUGUUUGCAUGGAUUUUCUGGUAGUGGCGGCGAAAGCGUAAGCGAAGGAGGGGUAUGCUGCUUGAAGGGUGUGGUCAGCCUGCUCUUGGUUGGACUUGGAAGCAGGCUAUACCAAUGAAGGAGGAAAGGGAGGGAUGCCACGUUUGACCUCUUCUGUCGCGUGUGAACGGUGGCGGGAGGUAUGUCGCUUACGUGGUAGGGUUGCUGCACAUUGUUGCGCCCGUUGUUGACAGCUAAGUGAGCGCAUAGCACAUUGCACGUUCAUGUGGCUUCGUACGAGCACCUUGUCUGCCGUGUCAUUUUUCACGCAUGGCGCGUGAGGUAUUAGCUUCGACAUCACAAUACAUCGUGGCCUGUCACUCAGUAUUACAUGAGUUCUUGUGACAUGAUGUGUAUUGACACUGGAAAUAGCCAUCAUGAAUGAAUUCAGCUACGUGUGAUCACCUACGCUGGACAUAUGUUCUUACUCUAGUUCUCUCAUACUGGAUGAUGUGAGCCCAGCAAUUUUAUCCAGGGAGGACAGCGAGCUAAAUUUAUUCCUGAAAGUGCCCCACAGCGCAGAGGACCCCGUCGUAUAUUGAGAAAAGAACUGGGCAGCAUAUCCCCAGCUUUCCAAGGUUGCUGCUGUGUGCUUUGGUGUUCCUGCAUCGUCGGGUUCUGCUGAGUGACCGUUUUCCAUUGCAGGACCACUGCAGAGGACACGCCGUUCAUCUCUAUGCCCAAGGACAACUGAGCACCAUACUAGUUCGAGAGAAUGUGAGGCGCAAAUUGAAGUGAAGACUGCAAGGAGCCCAGAAGACCAGCAAUUUACAUGUGCCAGCUAGCUCUCUUGCCUGCAAGCGGCUACAAGCAAAGCCAGUGGAUGGUACAAACUCAUCCCUUCUCAUCAUCCUGACAUUUUCUGACUUAUGUUGCAGAGAAAAUGAUCCCAUUGAUGAAAGAAAAGGCUUGGGAACUGGCUUUGAAGCUGGGAUACGACCUGCUGAAAGCCGUUCACUACAUACCGUCAUCGUGGGACUCUGUAUCCCAGGAGACCUAGCAUCAGCCACAAAUGUGUUCAUGUAAAUAUCAGGGACACAUAUGUUUCUCAUUUAAACAAAGUGUGCACAUUCUGUUAGAGCCAAUCUCUGCUGUUUAUGAGUAAAGCCCUUAGCUUUCAGCGAUUCCGCUAAACCCCGCGGAAAUGUAGAUUCUUCGCGGAAUACGUGCUUUUGCGCCGAAAUUCGUGGAACAGGCAAUAUCGCGUUCGGUUUUCUAAAUUCUCAUGCAGUUUUCAUCUGUUGGGGAAAUUUUCUUCGUUAACUGUAAAAGCAAAAGUGAAAAGCACAAGAAACAAAGAUGUGGUGCUAACAGUGAGGAGCAUCAGCGUUGCAAAACUUGAGGAAGGAGGGGCCAGGGGCCGUCACGUGGACACGGAGCCAACCAACCACGGUCGCGAAAACUCACCCUGUAGGCGCACGGGCGACUGGCGGCUGCGGGCAACGUCGCAUAACCAUGACUUGCUUGCUGCGUAAUGUCACAUCUGAGUACGAAAACUGCGCGGGGCCCUGCUCGUGAAUAUAAGGCCGUGGGCUUUUAUGAAGAUGGCGGAAUUCUUUUUUGUAAAGCUUGUGCAAAAUCUGUUGAUCAUAAACGAAAAUCAACGCUUUUGCACUACCUAGCUAGCGAGAAGCAUCACAUGAACGCAGACAAGCUGAAACGGGAACAAGUGCAGCAGUCAAGUGAUGAUGCGAACGCAAGGUUACAAACCCUGGAAUCCGUGAUGAAAAGCAAGGAGAAGGCGGACAACCCCAAACUUAGAAGCUUCCUCCACCGACGAGUGACUAACGAUGGCUCCAUACCUCAUUCUGGCACACUUCGCGCUCCCCAGCUAUUCGAAAGACAUGUAGCUGCUCUGAAAAACAUAUUGUGAGGAUCAACUGUCUCUGUAACAGUGGACGAGACCACAGAGGACAGGUCGAGGUCUGUCGUCAAUGUUCUCUUCAUGAAGCCACCGAGCAGCAUGGGCGAACGCCUGAAGCCAAUCCUCGUCGAAGUGCAGUUCGUCGACGAAGUAAACGCGGGUAUCAUCGGCCGCAUCGUAGCCAAGACGGUGACGACAUACGACAUCGAGUUUGAAGAAGUCACGGCUUUCAUAAGCGACAACGCUGCGUACAUGAUCAAGGUGUAGAGACCAUUUACAGUAGAGUUAUCUGGGUGCCGCCAUCUUAGCGCAUGUCACCUUGCGCGACAUUGCUUGCCUUCUCUUUCGGCUGCCUGUUGGCGCGGCGCACGCAGUAUUGCGGUGCAACCCAGAGACGUUUUGCCCGGUUUUCAACUUUUUGCAAUGAAUUCUGGGUGGAAGGAUGACACAAGGUUGGCUGGAGCUUAAACGGUCAGGGAUGUGUGUUAUACACUGGAAGAUAUGGUAGCUGCCUCAAACCGCAACAGUACGGAUGGUACCUUCCGUAUUCUGAAUACUUUGGCCACAUUGCAUACGUGGUUUUCAACUAAAUAUACACUGGAGCAUAGCAAAAUGCCAUGUCAAAACCAGCUCUUGACAACAACACUGAAAGAAUGAUUGAAAAUCAUGCGAACUGGUGGCAAAGAUCCGUAACGAAAAAACUAUAAGCUCUGUGUGCAGGCGAGGUGCCGGCACAAUUGCUGGAGCUAGCGCGCCCCUUGACGGCAAACUGAGCAUCUUGUCAAGCAAAAUUACGGAGAGCAUAGAGAGCGUGGCUACGCACUCUGUGGUGCCAUCGUCGUGUGUGGUCGUCACGGAAUUUCUUCCACUCAAAGGGACUGAAACCUUCCUCAGAUGAAGCAGUACUGAAAAAGGAACCCUUCUUUUCGAGUCUGGUCAUGUU